CACACUUAAACCGGUGCUUAAUAUCUGAGCAGUUCUGUGUUGUUCUGAGUUAGAAACACUGUUUUAACUCAAAGUUUUAAAUGCAGAAAUGCUGUGGGGUCAGUAACCCUGGGAGAGGGGGAGGAUGGGCACUUAGACAUCAGACCUCAUGAGGUGAAAGAUAGUGUUUGGAAGAAGUAAGUGGCCUGGUGUUCAGUAACAUAUGCCUAACUAUAAACCUUCUCUUUUAUACUUGAGGAAGAAGCUGAAAGCACUGGACACACCUCUGUUUCUGUUGGAGGUCGCUUGCUGAUUUAUCUCCAAUUCACAGCUCAUUAGAAGGUAUGUAACUCUUCAGUGGUGUUGUUAUUUAACAGGUAUGUUUUCAUGCUGCUGCUAAUGAACUCUGGAUUUAGUAACUCCUGACACAAGAAAGAUUUCAGAGAUUAUUAACAUAAAAUUGGAAGUCUGUUCCCAUGGGUAGUGCAUAGAUUAGGUUAUGUAAUACCUAAUAAUAAAUUUACCGAUCUG
Molecule: long non-coding RNA, 510 nt
Filed under: Calidris pugnax (ruff)
Lineage: Eukaryota; Metazoa; Chordata; Aves; Charadriiformes; Scolopacidae
Description: lncRNA (ENSCPUG00000019766.1)
Source: RNAcentral